CCUUGGAAUGAAAGGAUUCUAGGAUCAUAGUUUCAGUAGUGAAAGGAACCUUAGAGGCCAUCAGGUCAAAUCAUCUUCUUUUCUUACAGGGAGCUUAGAACAAAGAUAAGAAAA
RNAcentral lists this long non-coding RNA (114 nucleotides) under Monodelphis domestica (gray short-tailed opossum). RNAcentral describes it as "lncRNA (ENSMODG00000042363.1)". Lineage: Eukaryota; Metazoa; Chordata; Mammalia; Didelphimorphia; Didelphidae. The record is from RNAcentral.